GAGUUUGAUCGUGGCUCAGAUUGAACGCUGGCGGCAUGCCUUACACAUGCAAGUCGAACGGCAGCAUGAUCUAGCUUGCUAGAUUGAUGGCGAGUGGCGAACGGGUGAGUAAUACAUCGGAACGUGCCCUGUAGUGGGGGAUAACUAGUCGAAAGAUUAGCUAAUACCGCAUACGACCUGAGGGUGAAAGUGGGGGACCGCAAGGCCUCAUGCUAUAGGAGCGGCCGAUGUCUGAUUAGCUAGUUGGUGGGGUAAAGGCCCACCAAGGCGACGAUCAGUAGCUGGUCUGAGAGGACGAUCAGCCACACUGGGACUGAGACACGGCCCAGACUCCUACGGGAGGCAGCAGUGGGGAAUUUUGGACAAUGGGCGAAAGCCUGAUCCAGCAAUGCCGCGUGUGUGAAGAAGGCCUCGGUU
This 417-nucleotide ribosomal RNA is filed under the name uncultured microorganism. RNAcentral's name for it is "bacterial SSU rRNA". It matches the Rfam family "Bacterial small subunit ribosomal RNA", at positions 9 to 424 of the family's 1533-position model. The record is from RNAcentral.